CACUGGAUCAAGAAAAGGAUGGU
RNAcentral lists this non-coding RNA (23 nucleotides) under Cricetulus griseus (Chinese hamster). The record is from RNAcentral. Lineage: Eukaryota; Metazoa; Chordata; Mammalia; Rodentia; Cricetidae.